Molecule: unclassified non-coding RNA, 535 nt
Filed under: Hevea brasiliensis (rubber tree)
Lineage: Eukaryota; Viridiplantae; Streptophyta; Magnoliopsida; Malpighiales; Euphorbiaceae
Source: RNAcentral
GUUUCAUCCUCUUUUUCAGGUAGUUAUUUAAGUUCGGGUUGUUCUUAAUGGGGUAUGGGAACUUGAUAUAAUAGCCCUUGGUUGAAACUAUGUCGAGUCUAUUGGGGACUGCCUUUCAAUUGUGUAAACUGAGUAUGAUUAUGAAUUUUCUGUUGGAUUGUGCAUUACUCUUUGUUUGUAAAAGAUUUUGGGGGAGAAGGAAAAUAAUGAGAGAGAAGUAUUUAGGGAAGAAAAACCAAAUUUCCUCUUGUUUGGAUAUUAGGGAAGAAAAAGCAGGAGUAAAAUCUCUAUUUUAGCUUGUUAUGUGUAAUUAAAAUAAAUAAUUUGAGGGGUAGAAAUGUAGUGUAAUUAAGUUUCCUUGCACUUUCUCUCCAAAUUUCUAUCCAAUUUGGAGAGUAAGCGAAUUGUGGAUCCCAUGUCUUGUUUUUCCCUACAUGUCCCCAUGUCUUGUUUUUCCCUCCAUUAUUUUCCUUCCCCAUAAACCCCUAAUUUUCCUUAUUUCCAAAUAAGAGAAUGGUGGAAAAUUCUUUAAUUU